This 749-nucleotide ribosomal RNA is filed under the name uncultured archaeon. RNAcentral describes it as "bacterial SSU rRNA". It matches the Rfam family "Archaeal small subunit ribosomal RNA", at positions 139 to 886 of the family's 1478-position model. The record is from RNAcentral.
ACUGGGGAUAAUACCGGAUAACGCAUAUGUGCUGGAAUGCUUUAUGCGUAAAACGGAUUCGUCCGCCCAAGGAUGGGUCUGCGGCCUAUCAGGUAGUAGUGGGUGUAAUGUACCUACUAGCCAACAACGGGUACGGGUUGUGAGAGCAAGAGCCCGGAGAUGGAUUCUGAGACAUGAAUCCAGGCCCUACGGGGCGCAGCAGGCGCGAAAACUUUACAAUGCGGGAAACCGUGAUAAGGGAACACCGAGUGCCAGCAUCAUAUGCUGGCUGUCCAGAUGUGUAAACUACAUCUGUUAGCAAGGGCCGGGCAAGACCGGUGCCAGCCGCCGCGGUAACACCGGCGGCCCGAGUGGUGACCGUUAUUAUUGGGUCUAAAGGGUCCGUAGCCGGUUUGGUCAGUCCUCCGGGAAAUCUGAUAGCUUAACUGUUAGGCUUUCGGGGGAUACUGCCAGGCUUGGAACCGGGAGAGGUAAGAGGUACUACAGGGGUAGGAGUGAAAUCUUGUAAUCCCUGUGAGACCACCUGUGGCGAAGGCGUCUUACCAGAGCGGGUUCGACGGUGAGGGACGAAAGCUGGGGGCACGAACCGGAUUAGAUACCCGGGUAGUCCCAGCCGUAAACUAUGCUCGCUAGGUGUCAGGCAUGGCGCGACCGUGUCUGGUGCCGCAGGGAAGCCGUGAAGCGAGCCACCUGGGAAGUACGGCCGCAAGGCUGAAACUUAAAGGAAUUGGCGGGGGAGCACAAGGGCG